Molecule: ribosomal RNA, 301 nt
Filed under: uncultured bacterium
Lineage: Bacteria
Description: partial 16S ribosomal RNA
Rfam family: Bacterial small subunit ribosomal RNA
Source: RNAcentral
CAGUCGCCGCGGGAAUACGAGGGGUGCAAGCGUUAUUCGGAUUGAUUGGGUGUAAAGGGCGCGUAGGCGGACUGAUAAGUCAGGGGUGAAAUCCCAAGGCUCAACCUUGGAACUGCCUUUGAUACUGUUUGUCUUGAGUUCGAGAGAGGUAAGUGGAACUGCGAGUGUAGAGGUGAAAUUCGUAGAUAUUCGCAAGAACACCAGUGGCGAAGGCGGCUUACUGGCUCGAAACUGACGCUGAGGCGCGAAAGCGUGGGGAGCAAACAGGAUUAGAUACCCGAGUAGUCCCUGUCUCUUAUAC